Molecule: ribosomal RNA, 486 nt
Filed under: uncultured bacterium
Lineage: Bacteria
Description: partial 16S ribosomal RNA
Rfam family: Bacterial small subunit ribosomal RNA
Source: RNAcentral
AUUAAACGCUGGCGGCAUGCCUUACACAUGCAAGUCGAACGGCAGCACGGGUGCUUGCACCUGGUGGCGAGUGGCGAACGGGUGAGUAAUAUAUCGGAACAUGUCCUGUAGUGGGGGAUAGCCCGGCGAAAGCCGGAUUAAUACCGCAUACGAUCUACGGAUGAAAGCGGGGGACCUUCGGGCCUCGCGCUAUAGGGUUGGCCGAUGGCUGAUUAGCUAGUUGGUGGGGUAAAGGCCUACCAAGGCGACGAUCAGUAGCUGGUCUGAGAGGACGACCAGCCACACUGGGACUGAGACACGGCCCAGACUCCUACGGGAGGCAGCAGUGGGGAAUUUUGGACAAUGGGCGAAAGCCUGAUCCAGCAAUGCCGCGUGUGUGAAGAAGGCCUUCGGGUUGUAAAGCACUUUUGUCCGGAAAGAAAUCCUUGGCCCUAAUACGGUCGGGGGAUGACGGUACCGGAAGAAUAAGCACCGGCUAACUACGUG